RNAcentral lists this ribosomal RNA (419 nucleotides) under uncultured rumen bacterium. RNAcentral's name for it is "bacterial SSU rRNA". It matches the Rfam family "Bacterial small subunit ribosomal RNA", at positions 354 to 776 of the family's 1533-position model. The record is from RNAcentral.
GUGGGGGAUAUUGCACAAUGGGCGAAAGCCUGAUGCAGCGACGCCGCGUGAGUGAAGAAGUAUUUCGGUAUGUAAAGCUCUAUCAGCAGGGAAGAAAGGCCCGCAAGGGAGAUGACGGUACCUGACUAAGAAGCCCCGGCUAACUACGUGCCAGCAGCCGCGGUAAUACGUAGGGGGCAAGCGUUAUCCGGAUUUACUGGGUGUAAAGGGAGCGCAGACGGUGAUGCAAGUCUGAAGUGAAACCCCACGGCUCAACCGUGGGCUUGCUUUGGAAACUGUAUGACUAGAGUACUGGAGAGGUAAGCGGAAUUCCUAGUGUAGCGGUGAAAUGCGUAGAUAUUAGGAGGAACAUCGGUGGCGAAGGCGGCUUACUGGACAGCAACUGACGUUGAGGCUCGAAGGCGUGGGGAGCAAACAGG